This 427-nucleotide ribosomal RNA is filed under the name uncultured Geobacter sp. RNAcentral describes it as "partial 16S ribosomal RNA". It matches the Rfam family "Bacterial small subunit ribosomal RNA", at positions 355 to 774 of the family's 1533-position model. Lineage: Bacteria; Pseudomonadati; Thermodesulfobacteriota; Desulfuromonadia; Geobacterales; Geobacteraceae. The record is from RNAcentral.
UGGGGAAUUUUGCGCAAUGGGGGAAACCCUGACGCAGCAACGCCGCGUGAGUGAUGAAGGCCUUUGGGUCGUAAAGCUCUGUCAGUGGGAACGAAGUGUAGGGGGUUAACAGCCGACCUAUUUGACGGUACCCACAAAGGAAGCACCGGCUAACUCCGUGCCAGCAGCCGCGGUAAUACGGAGGGUGCAAGCGUUGUUCGGAUUUAUUGGGCGUAAAGGGCGUGUAGGCGGUUUCUUAAGUCUGAUGUGAAAGCCCCGGGCUCAACCUGGGAAGUGCAUUGGAAACUGGGAGACUUGAGUACGGGAGAGGGCAGUGGAAUUCCUAGUGUAGGAGUGAAAUCCGUAGAUAUUAGGAGGAACACCGGUGGCGAAGGCGGCUGCCUGGACCGAUACUGACGCUGAGACGCGAAAGCGUGGGGAGCAAACA